RNAcentral lists this long non-coding RNA (291 nucleotides) under Chinchilla lanigera (long-tailed chinchilla). RNAcentral describes it as "lncRNA (ENSCLAG00000026887.1)". Lineage: Eukaryota; Metazoa; Chordata; Mammalia; Rodentia; Chinchillidae. The record is from RNAcentral.
UGCUGUUCCUUCUCAUUCAUUCCAUGACCAUCUCCUCUAACUUCUAAAUGUACAAUUACUUUUCAGGUAAAACAAACAAACAAAGAAAAGGAUGAGAUGACUCGACUUUUCAGCGGUACUGGAAGAUAUCAUUUCCAUUCGGACUGAAAAGGAUUUUCUUCAGAUCCAUCAACAACGCAUACAGCAAGUUCAUAAGAUGCAGAGACAGUCCACAUUAUAGUUUCUGACCUGUCUGAACAAGAGAUAUAUUAAAGCUUCUACAUUUCAUUAAAGAAACCUACCAGAGUUUAC